AAUAUUGCACAAUGGGCGCAAGCCUGAUGCAGCCAUGCCGCGUGUGUGAAGAAGGCCUUCGGGUUGUAAAGUACUUUCAGCAGUGAGGAAGGUGGUGCAGUUAAUAGCUGUAUCAUUUGACGUUAGCUGCAGAAGAAGCACCGGCUAACUCCGUGCCAGCAGCCGCGGUAAUACGGAGGGUGCGAGCGUUAAUCGGAAUUACUGGGCGUAAAGCGCAUGCAGGUGGUUUGUUAAGUCAGAUGUGAAAGCCCCGGGGCUCAACCUCGGAAUUGCAUUUGAAACUGGCAGGCUAGAGUCUUGUAGAGGGGGUAGAAUUUCAGGUGUAGCGGUGAAAUGCGUAGAGAUCUGAAGGAAUACCAGUGGCGAAGGCGGCCCCCUGGACAAAGACUGACGCUCAGAUGCGAAAGCGUGGGGAGCAAACCAGGAUUUGAUACCCUGGUAG
This 442-nucleotide ribosomal RNA is filed under the name uncultured bacterium. Its description in RNAcentral is "bacterial SSU rRNA". It matches the Rfam family "Bacterial small subunit ribosomal RNA", at positions 360 to 793 of the family's 1533-position model. The record is from RNAcentral.